This 742-nucleotide non-coding RNA is filed under the name Pan troglodytes (chimpanzee). The record is from RNAcentral. Lineage: Eukaryota; Metazoa; Chordata; Mammalia; Primates; Hominidae.
UUUUCAUUUCCCAGAUACAGCUGAUCGAGUUCGCCGAGUGGCCGAGCGAGUGAGCGCUCCUCCGACUUGGGUGGAGGAAGGACAGAAGAGCUCCUUGGCACUGGAUGCCUCCGGGUCUGGUUGAGAGAGGAAUGGUUAGGAGACUGUUCUGAGGAUACGCAGACAUCAUCCAAAGCUUCCUACAUUCAGAUGAGGACAGAGGUUGGGCCAGAGCUUUGUAUGCUUGUUACCUAAGGAUGGUUCUGACCAUGUAAGCAGAUCACAGAAGCACUGUUCACAAUAGCAAAGACUUGGAACCAAUCCAAAUGCCCAUCAAUGAAAACCUGGAUAAAGAAAAUGUGGCACAUACACAGCAUGGAAUACUAUGCAGCCAUAAAUAAGGAUGAAUUCAUGUCCUUUGCAGGGACAUGGAUGAAGUUGGAAACAUCAUUCUCAGCAAACUAACCUGGAGGCAAAGGAUGCCAAGAUGGGAAAGCCACAUAAUGGAAGGAUCCUGGAUUUCAGAGCUGUCACUUGGAGGAGGGGCACCCAGUGAAGGUGUCUUAUCUAACCCACACCAUAUCUUCAUGAAGUGGCCAUAUGGAUUUGAUCCCUAUCCUUCAGAGGUGCUCAGCCUAAGGGAACACGGAUAGUAGAUUAAGCACUGACCAGGCAUGAAGAAACUGAAGCAUGGAGGAAAAACUAAGCAACUAGCCCAACGUCACACAGGCAAGCCAGCCUUGACAAUGUGCUGUUGGCAACC